AAAUGCGAUAAGUAAUGUGAAUUGCAGAAUUCAGUGAAUCAUCGAAUCUUUGAACGCACAUUGCGCCCGCCAGUAUUCUGGCGGGCAUGCCUGUCCGAGCGUCAUUUCAACCAUCAAGCCCCCGGGCUUGUGUUGGGGACCUGCGGCUGCCCGCAGGCCCUGAAAACCAGUGGCGGGCUCGCUGUCACACCGAGCGUAGUAGCAAUCACCUCGCUCAGGGCGUGCUGCGGGUUCCGGCCGUUAAACAGCCUUACAAAACCCAAGGUUGACCUCGGAUCAGGUAGGAAGACCCGCUGAACUUAAGA
RNAcentral lists this unclassified non-coding RNA (305 nucleotides) under plant metagenome. RNAcentral's name for it is "partial contains 5.8S ribosomal RNA, internal transcribed spacer 2, and large subunit ribosomal RNA". The stretch from base 1 to 104 matches the Rfam family "5.8S ribosomal RNA", at positions 51 to 154 of the family's 154-position model. The record is from RNAcentral.